This 253-nucleotide unclassified non-coding RNA is filed under the name uncultured Oscillospiraceae bacterium. Its description in RNAcentral is "contains 16S-23S intergenic spacer region". It matches the Rfam family "Bacterial small subunit ribosomal RNA", at positions 524 to 776 of the family's 1533-position model. The record is from RNAcentral. Lineage: Bacteria; Bacillati; Bacillota; Clostridia; Eubacteriales; Oscillospiraceae.
UACGUAGGGGGCGAGCGUUAUCCGGAUUUAUUGGGUGUAAAGGGUGCGUAGACGGGAAUGCAAGUUAGUUGUGAAAUCCCUCGGCUUAACUGAGGAACUGCAACUAAAACUGUAUUUCUUGAGUGCAGGAGAGGAAAGUGGAAUUCCUAGUGUAGCGGUGAAAUGCGUAGAUAUUAGGAGGAACACCAGUGGCGAAGGCGACUUUCUGGACUGUAACUGACGUUGAGGCACGAAAGUGUGGGGAGCAAACAGG